This 1517-nucleotide ribosomal RNA is filed under the name metagenome. RNAcentral describes it as "bacterial SSU rRNA". It matches the Rfam family "Bacterial small subunit ribosomal RNA". The record is from RNAcentral.
AGAGUUUGAUUAUGGCUCAGGACGAACGCUGGCGGUGUGCCUUAGUCAUGCAAGUCGAACGGGAUCUUUGCCCGCAAGGGUGAAGGUUCAGUGGCGAACGGGUGAGUAAUGUGUGGGAAUCUGCCCUCGAGACGGGAACAACCCGCCGAAAGGCGGGCUAAUACCAGAUAACAUUUCUGUGUGAAAACGCGGAAAUCAAAUGAUGGCCUCUGCUUGCAAGCCAUCGCUCAAGGAUGAGCCCACAUCCUAUCAGCUAGUUGGCGGGGUAAUGGCCCACCAAGGCUAUGACGGGUAGCUGGUCUAAGAGGACGGCCAGCCACACUGGGACUGCGACACGGCCCAGACUCCUACGGGAGGCAGCAGUCAGGAAUAUUGGGCAAUGGGCGAAAGCCUGACCCAGCGACACCGCGUGUGGGAUUAAGGCCUUCGGGUUGUAAACCACUGUCAGGGGAACGAAGUAGGCGCCGGCGAAUAGCCGGUGCCCGUUGACGGUACUCCCAGAGGAAGCCACGGCUAACUCUGUGCCAGCAGCCGCGGUAAGACAGAGGUGGCGAGCGUUGUCCGGAUUCACUGGGCGUAAAGGGCGUGUAGGCUGUUUCGCAAGUCAGUCGUGAAAGGCAUCGGCUCAACCGAAGCAGUGCGACUGAGACUGCGAGGCUCGAGGGUGGGAGAGGAAAGUGGAAUUCCCGGUGUAGCAGUGAAAUGCGUAGAUAUCGGGAAGAACACCAAUGGCGAAGGCGACUUUCUGGCCCGCUACUGACGCUGAGGCGCGAAAGCCAGGGGAGCGAACGGGAUUAGAUACCCCGGUAGUCCUGGCCGUAAACUAUGGACACUAGGUGUGGGGGAGUUUUCUCCUCCGUGCCGAAGCUAACGCAUUAAGUGUCCCGCCUGGGGACUACGGCCGCAAGGUUGAAACUCAAAUAAAUUGACGGGGGCCCGCACAAGCGGUGGAGCAUGUGGCUCAAUUCGACACAACGCGAGGAACCUUACCAGGGUUUGACAUGACUAGGACAGUCCGCGAAAGCGGAUCUUCCCGCAAGGGACCUAGACACAGGUGCUGCAUGGCUGUCGUCAGCUCGUGUCGUGAGAUGUUGGGUUAAGUCCCGCAACGAGCGCAACCCCUAUUCCUAGUUGCUACCAGGUCAAGCUGAGCACUCUAGGGAGACUGCCCGGGUAACCGGGAGGAAGGUGGGGAUGACGUCAAGUCCUCAUGGCCUUUAUGCCCUGGGCUGCACACGUGCUACAAUGGCGCGCACAAAGGGUUGCGAAACCGCAAGGUGAAGCCAAUCCCAAAAAACGCGCCUCAAUUCAGAUUGCAGGCUGCAACUCGCCUGCAUGAAGCUGGAAUCGCUAGUAAUCGCGGAUAAGUACGCCGCGGUGAAUACGUUCCCGGGCCUUGUACACACCGCCCGUCAAGCCACGAAAGCUGACUGUACCCGAAGCCGUUUUAGCCAACCCGCAAGGGGGGCGGGCGGCGAAGGUAUGAUCGGUGAUUGGGGCUAAGUCGUAACAAGGUA